This 641-nucleotide ribosomal RNA is filed under the name uncultured bacterium. RNAcentral describes it as "bacterial SSU rRNA". It matches the Rfam family "Bacterial small subunit ribosomal RNA", at positions 8 to 691 of the family's 1533-position model. The record is from RNAcentral.
AGAGUUUGAUCCUGGCUCAGGACGAACGCUGGCGGUGUGCUUCACACAUGCAAGUCGAACGAGGUAGCAAUACCUAGUGGCGGACGGGUGAGUAACGCGUGGGAAUCUGCCUUUAGAUGGGGGAUAACGAGCCGAAAGGUUCGCUAAUACCGCAUAUGCCGCAAGGUGAAAGGAGUAAUCCGUCUAAAGAUGAGCCCGCGUCCGAUUAGCUAGUUGGUGGGGUAAAGGCCUACCAAGGCGACGAUCGGUAGCUGGUCUGAGAGGAUGAUCAGCCACAAUGGGACUGAGACACGGCCCAUACUCCUACGGGAGGCAGCAGUGGGGAAUUUUACGCAAUGGGGGAAACCCUGACGUAGCGACACCGCGUGAGCGAAGAAGCCCCUUGGGGUGUAAAGCUCUGUCAGCUGGAACGAAACAAAUGACGGUACCAGCAGAGGAAGCAUCGGCUAACUACGUGCCAGCAGCCGCGGUAAGACGUAGGAUGCGAGCGUUGUCCGGAUUUAUUGGGCGUAAAGAGUUCGUAGGUGGUUUGUUAAGUUUGAUGUUAAAGAUCGGGGCUCAACCUCGGGACAGCAUUGAAUACUGGCAGACUUGAGUAUGGUAGAGGCUAGUGGAAUUCCCAGUGUAGCGGUGAAAUGCGU